UACGGAGGAUCCAAGCGUUAUCCGGAUUUAUUGGGUUUAAAGGGUGCGUAGGCGGAUUGAUAAGUUAGAGGUGAAAUGUCCGAGCUCAACUCGGGAACUGCCUCUAAUACUGUUGAUCUAGAGAGUAGAUGCGGUAGGCGGAAUGUAUGGUGUAGCGGUGAAAUGCGUAGAUAUACGGAGGAACACCAGUGGCGAAGGCGGCCUGCUGGACAUUAACUGACGCUGAGGCGCGAAAGCGUGGGGAGCAAACAGG
This 253-nucleotide ribosomal RNA is filed under the name uncultured Rikenellaceae bacterium. Its description in RNAcentral is "partial 16S ribosomal RNA". It matches the Rfam family "Bacterial small subunit ribosomal RNA", at positions 524 to 776 of the family's 1533-position model. Lineage: Bacteria; Pseudomonadati; Bacteroidota; Bacteroidia; Bacteroidales; Rikenellaceae. The record is from RNAcentral.